UACAGAGGUCUCAAGCGUUGUUCGGAUUCAUUGGGCGUAAAGAGUGUGUAGGCGGUGCUCUAAGUUCGGUGUGAAAUCUCCCGGCUUAACUGGGAGGGUGCGCCGGAAACUGGAGUGCUCGAACGUGGGAGAGGAAAGCGGAAUUCCUGGUGUAGCGGUGAAAUGCGUAGAUAUCAGGAGGAACACCUGCGGUGUAGACGGCUUUCUGGACCAUUGUUGACGCUGAGACACGAAAGCGUGGGUAGCAAACAGG
This 253-nucleotide ribosomal RNA is filed under the name uncultured bacterium. Its description in RNAcentral is "partial 16S ribosomal RNA". It matches the Rfam family "Bacterial small subunit ribosomal RNA", at positions 524 to 776 of the family's 1533-position model. The record is from RNAcentral.